AUACGGAGGAUCCGAGCGUUAUCCGGAUUUAUUGGGUUUAAAGGGUGCGCAGGCGGCCAUUUAAGUCAGCGGUUAAAUCGUGGGGCUCAACCCCAUUCUGCCGUUGAUACUGGGUGGCUUGAUUGCGGUCGAGGUUGGCGGAAUUCGUUGUGUAGCGGUGAAAUGCAAAGAUAUGACGAAGAACACCGAUUGCGUAGGCAUCUGACCAGACCGCAAAUGACGCUCAGGCACGAAAGUGCGGGGAUCGAACAGGAUUAGAUACCCUGGUAGUCCGCGCAGUAAACGAUGAAUACUUGUUUUCGGCGAUAUAAUGUCGGAGGCAAAGCGAAAGCGAUAAGUAUUCCACCUGGGGAGUACGCCGGCAACGGUGAAACUCAAAUGAAUUGACGGGG
RNAcentral lists this ribosomal RNA (392 nucleotides) under uncultured bacterium. RNAcentral's name for it is "partial 16S ribosomal RNA". It matches the Rfam family "Bacterial small subunit ribosomal RNA", at positions 523 to 918 of the family's 1533-position model. The record is from RNAcentral.